CCUACGGGAGGCAGCAGUGGGGAAUCUUGCGCAAUGGGCGAAAGCCUGACGCAGCCAUGCCGCGUGAAUGAUGAAGGUCUUAGGAUUGUAAAAUUCUUUUCACCGGGGACGAUAAUGACGGUACCCGGAGAAGAAGCCCCGGCUAACUUCGUGCCAGCAGCCGCGGUAAUACGAAGGGGGCUAGCGUUGCUCGGAAUUACUGGGCGUAAAGGGAGCGUAGGCGGAUAGUUUAGUCAGAGGUGAAAGCCCAGGGCUCAACCUUGGAAUUGCCUUUGAUACUGGCUAUCUUGAGUGUGGGAGAGGUAUGUGGAACUCCGAGUGUAGAGGUGAAAUUCGUAGAUAUUCGGAAGAAC
This 353-nucleotide ribosomal RNA is filed under the name uncultured bacterium. RNAcentral's name for it is "bacterial SSU rRNA". It matches the Rfam family "Bacterial small subunit ribosomal RNA", at positions 338 to 707 of the family's 1533-position model. The record is from RNAcentral.